RNAcentral lists this unclassified non-coding RNA (201 nucleotides) under Hevea brasiliensis (rubber tree). Lineage: Eukaryota; Viridiplantae; Streptophyta; Magnoliopsida; Malpighiales; Euphorbiaceae. The record is from RNAcentral.
UGUGAUUUUUCCUAUCCUUGCAUUCUGCAAACCAAGAAAGCGGGCUUGCAGUUCGAUUGAUAAGCAAAAUGUUUGAGUAAGAACUUUUUUCUUUGAGAUCAGCCCUGCUAACUCCUUCAACGUGGGCAACCCCUCUAGAACCUAACUUCAUGCUUGUAGCCAGGACAUGAUGCCACAUUUCAGAAUUGUCUAAAAUUACAG